ACUCAAAUGAAUUGACGGGGGCUCACACAAGCGGUGGAGCAUGUGGCUUAAUUCGAAGCAACGCGAAGAACCUUAUCCAAGGCUUGACAUGCACGGAUUAGUUCGUUGAAAGACGGAUGACACUCUUUGAGUGGAACGUGCACAGGUGCUGCAUGGCUGUCGUCAGCUCGUGCUGUGAAGUGUCGGGUUAAGUCCCUUAACGAGCGAAACCCCUAUCAUUAGUUGCCAACAGGUAAAGCUGGGGACUCUAAUGAGACUGCCGGUGUCAAACCGGAGGAAGGUGGGGAUGACGUCAAGUCCUCAUGGCCCUUAUGCCUUGGGCUGCACACGUGCUACAAUGGCGCGGCACAAAGCGAAGCGAGACCGCAAGGUGGAGCAAAUCGCACAAAACGCGCCCCAGUUCAGAUUGAGGUCUGCAACCCGACCUCAUGAAGUUGGAAUCGCUAGUAAUCGCGGAUCAGCUACGCCGCGGUGAAUAUGUUCCUGAGCCUUGUACACACCGCCCGU
This 507-nucleotide ribosomal RNA is filed under the name uncultured bacterium. RNAcentral describes it as "partial 16S ribosomal RNA". It matches the Rfam family "Bacterial small subunit ribosomal RNA", at positions 899 to 1397 of the family's 1533-position model. The record is from RNAcentral.